AGACGUCUACAUUAGAUACCCCUGUAGUCCCAGCCGUAAACUAUGCGCGUUAGGUGUAUCGGUGACCACGAGUUACCGAGGUGCCGAAGGGAAACCGUGAAACGUGCCGCCUGGGAAGUACGGUCGCAAGGCUGAAACUUAAAGGAAUUGGCGGGGGAGCACAACAACGGGUGGAGCCUGCGGUUUAAUUGGACUCAACGCCGGACAACUCACCGGGAACGACAGCAAUAUGUAGGCCAGGCUGAAGACCUUACCUGAAUCGCUG
This 265-nucleotide ribosomal RNA is filed under the name uncultured archaeon. RNAcentral's name for it is "partial 16S ribosomal RNA". It matches the Rfam family "Archaeal small subunit ribosomal RNA", at positions 714 to 982 of the family's 1478-position model. The record is from RNAcentral.